This is a long non-coding RNA of Chinchilla lanigera (long-tailed chinchilla), 540 nucleotides long. NCBI's taxonomy places the organism in Eukaryota, Metazoa, Chordata, Mammalia, Rodentia, Chinchillidae. The record is from Ensembl.
UAUAAUUUUAAAAAUUAGCAAAGUAUGAAAAAUGUUUUAUUCUGUUCCAAAAAUGUUUUUAGUUCUGAGCCAUCUGAAGAUGAAGAGUCACAGGGCCUUCCGACCAUGUCACGAAGAAAUGAGGGUAUUUCAGAAUUGGAAGGCCUUUCAGAAUUGGAAGAUCUUAAAGAUGCUAAACUUCAGACCUUGAAGGAACUUUUUCCACAAAGAAGUGAUGCUGAUUUACUUAAGUUGAUUGAGUCAACAACUACUAUGGAUGGAGCCAUUGCUGCCGCCUUGCUGAUGUUUGGUGAUGCAGGUGGUGGGCCCAGGAAAAGAAAGUUAUCGUCUUCUUCAGAGCCAUAUGAGGAAGAUGAAUUUAAUGAUGAUCAAUCUUUUAAAAAGACAAGAUUGGAUCAUGGAGAGGAAUCAAAUGAGUCUGCAGAAUCUAGCAGUAAUUGGGAAAAGCAGGAAAGUAUUGUAUUGAAAUUGCAAAAGGAAUUUCCCUAGUUUGAUAAACAAGUGAGCAGUAUGAUACAGAAAUGUAAUUUGUGGGGGCUG